GAUUCGGCGCUCCAUUUUUCUGGGAUGGCAGUGCUGUCGCCCCAAACCCCCAGCUUGCUGCUCAGCCCCUUCCUUCACCGCCCCUGCACAGGACUUCCUGACUUGGGGGGUUUAUGAUGUGUAGGAGGGGGCGGGAGGGAAGGUGAGGCACCCCUUCCUCACCCCUGAGACUGAGGGAGAAUCUGGCUCCUGGCAGCCUACUCCAUCAAGUGCCACACUGUUCCUAGGUAGGAAAUUUUCUCCCUGAAGACUCCAUUUUCUCGUCCCCAAGUCCCCAGCCCCUGGGGAUGAGGUGGGGGCACCCAAGGUCUCCCAACCGCUGGUUGAUUCCUCCUGACUGCACGUCCUAGGUUGGGAGGGAGCGGGUGGCCAUCGGUUUCUGCACCCUCCUUUCCUUUCCACGUGACCCCCUAGGGGUUCUGAAUCCCCAUCUCCCGGUGCACCCAGACCCCCAGGAGUGUCAGACUGGAAAGGAUGGUGAUGGAUGAGGAAACAGGCUGGGAGAGGGGAGUGUCCUCUGCAUGGUCUUUCAGGUUAGUGGCAGAGCUGGACUCUUCUUCACAUACCCCACCCCUCCCCUUGUUUCUUUCAAAUACCAAGAUCAAAGCCCAGGUUCGCUGUGGACCGGGAGCUCAGUCUUCCAAAUACUCUUGGCUAAAGUCCGGACAGGGCAGAAGGGGGCUGGGCACCAGAGGGGUGGGGAGCUGCCAGACUACUGGUUCAUACCUGAAACUGGGUUUCCCAACCGGACUUCUGCUGUCCCUCCCACCCCCAUCCUGCAGGGUCUCCUUCGAGGAUGGAAACAAAGCAUCCCAGGGUGGCCUUGCCAACGCCGCUGGCGGGGCUCAAUCCUCCCCGACCAAUGCCUGCCAGCCCGCGUGGAUUCCGAGCCCGGCUCCGGAAACCAGUCUGACCACUUCGCCCAUUUCCCAAGCCUCCCCGGGCGGCUGGCGGCCCGCUCCCAGGGUGGGGUGAACCCGGCUCGUUCGCAGCCUCCGCUGCUCCAGCGACUAAUGGAUUUGCCCAGAAGGCUACCGUCAAAGGGACACACCCGGUCACACUUUGGGGGCUUCCAGGUUGCUCCCCUCCCUGUCUUCCCCCAUCGUGAAAACUCCACGUGGUUGAAAACUCCACUCCCGGGCCUCAUCGCUGUUCACUUGCUGGGUCAGUCGCUGGCCCGGACAAUCCAAGCGAAGAGCCGAAGAGCCGCCUCCAGACAUGCCCCGGGCACACUGUUCCGGACUCGGCUGCCCUGGGGGCGCUUACAAUCGGGUCGGGACACCGAAUUGAGCCCUAGGAUUGAAUGUCAACCCUUUAGAAAGUGGCUGUUGUGGGAUCACAGUGUUGCCCCCAUGCGACCGAGGACGCAGAGGAAGAACAGCAGACCUCGAGGGAACCGCGGGCGGGAAAGGCCAGAGCAGUCCCACCGAAGUGGGAGGGUGGACAUGUGGCACCGAAGCCUUCCCUGCGCAAAUAUUUCAAAGGCUUCACCGACAAUUCACCAGGAUGCCCCCAAGAAAGCAACUGCGCCCCCGCGUCCAGCCCCCGGGUCCUGUCGAUGGGAACCCCCUAGAGGGCAGGGCUCCAGCUGCCCCGGUCCCACCCGCCACGUGGCGACGGCGCUGGCGCGCGCCAGCUGA
Molecule: long non-coding RNA, 1640 nt
Filed under: Capra hircus (goat)
Lineage: Eukaryota; Metazoa; Chordata; Mammalia; Artiodactyla; Bovidae
Description: lncRNA (ENSCHIG00010015969.1)
Source: RNAcentral